UGAAAAACUGUUGGUGAAAGAUGGGGACAUAAAAGAAAGAUAGAAAAAUUAAUUUGAUAAUCUCUUUAACAAUAGUCAAAGUGAUAAUAGCGUGAAUAUAGACUACAGAGCAAUAGAAAAUAAUGUCAAUUACACUAGAAGGAUUAGAUUUUCAGAAGUAAAGGCAUCACUUAAGAGAAUGAAAAAAAGUGGAUAAAGAUUGUGGACCCGAUGGAAUACCAAUUAA
Molecule: unclassified non-coding RNA, 226 nt
Filed under: Hevea brasiliensis (rubber tree)
Lineage: Eukaryota; Viridiplantae; Streptophyta; Magnoliopsida; Malpighiales; Euphorbiaceae
Source: RNAcentral